Non-coding RNA from Gasterosteus aculeatus (three-spined stickleback), 54 nucleotides. Lineage: Eukaryota; Metazoa; Chordata; Actinopteri; Perciformes; Gasterosteidae. The record is from Rfam.
AUUGCACAGUAUUGUAAAUCGCUUUGGAUAAAAGCGUCAGCUAAAUGACAUGUG